CGAACGUUGGCGGCGUGGAUGAGGCAUGCAAGUCGCGCGAGAAAGCACCUUCGGGUGUGAGUAGAGCGGCGGACGGGUGAGUAACACGUGACCGAUCUGCCCUUGAUCCUGGGACAACAGCGGGAAACUGCUGCUAAUACCGGAUGGUCCAUCUGGACUGCAUGGUCUGGAUGGUAAAGGUGGGGCUCCUGCGGGACCUACCGAUCGAGGAGGAGGUUGCGGCCUAUCAGCUAGUUGGCGGGGUAACGGCCCACCAAGGCGACGACGGGUAGCAGGCCUGAGAGGGUGGUCUGCCACACUGGGACUGAGACACUGCCCAGACUCCUACGGGAGGCUGCAGUCGAGGAUCUUCCGCAAUGGGCGCAAGCCUGACGGAGCGACGCCGCGUGGAGGACGAAGGCCUUAGGGUUGUAAACUCCUGUCGAGGGUUAUGAAUGGCGUUUGGUGAACAGCCGAACGAGUGACGUAAGCCCUGGAGGAAGCACCGGCUAACUCUGUG
RNAcentral lists this ribosomal RNA (499 nucleotides) under uncultured bacterium. RNAcentral's name for it is "bacterial SSU rRNA". It matches the Rfam family "Bacterial small subunit ribosomal RNA", at positions 30 to 507 of the family's 1533-position model. The record is from RNAcentral.